This 468-nucleotide ribosomal RNA is filed under the name uncultured bacterium. RNAcentral describes it as "partial 16S ribosomal RNA". It matches the Rfam family "Bacterial small subunit ribosomal RNA", at positions 28 to 507 of the family's 1533-position model. The record is from RNAcentral.
GACGAACGCUGGCGGCGUGCUUAACACAUGCAAGUCGAACGGAAAGGCCCUGCUUUUGUGGGGUGCUCGAGUGGCGAACGGGUGAGUAACACGUGAGUAACCUGCCCUUGACUUUGGGAUAACUUCAGGAAACUGGGGCUAAUACCGGAUAGGAGCUCCUGCUGCAUGGUGGGGGUUGGAAAGUUUCGGCGGUUGGGGAUGGACUCGCGGCUUAUCAGCUUGUUGGUGGGGUAGUGGCUUACCAAGGCUUUGACGGGUAGCCGGCCUGAGAGGGUGACCGGCCACAAUGGGACUGAGGUACGGCCCAGACUCCUACGGGAGGCAACAGUGGGGAAUAUUGCACAAUGGGCGGAAGCCUGAUGCAGCAACGCCGCGGUCGGGAUGACGGCCUUCGGGUUGUAAACCGCUUUCGCCUGUGACGAAGCGUGAGUGACGGUAAUGGGUAAAGAAGCACCGGCUAACUACGUG